RNAcentral lists this long non-coding RNA (652 nucleotides) under Homo sapiens (human). Its description in RNAcentral is "long non-coding RNA NONHSAT194031". Lineage: Eukaryota; Metazoa; Chordata; Mammalia; Primates; Hominidae. The record is from RNAcentral.
CAUCAGUUGGCGAGAGAAAGGCACUGAAGAAAUUUUCAGAUUCAUCGACCACAGUCCUCCGAACUGGCUUUGUGAUUGCUUUAGGAGAGGCUAUUGGUGGACUCUGAGGUUCAGUGUUUGAUUUCAACCCCCAGGUUGAAGUAUCCCAUCCUCCACUGACAGGGGAACUUAUUCCUUUAACAAAAAAGUAAAUAUUAAAAAAGAACACAUAUAUGUUACAUUAAUAUUUCAAUCAUCAUUAUAAAUCAGUAUAAAUAUAAAUUUAGAAAAAAUACCCUAUGAAAUACCUGUAAUUUGCACCUGCUAAACUCCUUGCUUACUACAUCAUUAAGUAGUUUCCAAGUUAAUACAGGGACUUACGGAAGAAAACUGGUGUGGGUCCACCUGAGAGGAAGGAGGAGCACAGACAAAAGACUGGGCCUGGCCUGGACUACCAGAUGCGAGGUGGCUGUGAUGGCUGGAGAUUUCAUUUGCCUAAAGAUUAUGAUGAGAGAGAAGUAUCAAACAUAAUUUUUAUCAAAAGAUAAUUUUUUUAAGGUUUCAAAAAUCACAAAAAUGAUUUUUACAACAUAACAAAAAUCUACAAUACUUACAGAGAAGCACUAUUGGUUAGAUAAUCCAAAACCUCCUGUAGUUUAGCUGAUGGAGAAAA